GAUGAACGCUAGCUACAGGCUUAACACAUGCAAGUCGAGGGACCGGCGCACGUGUGAGUAACACGUAUACAACCUGCCCUUUACUCGGGGAUAGCCUUACGAAAGAAAGAUUAAUACCCGAUAUAAAGGAUGGGGAUGCGUUCCAUUAGGUUGUUGGUGAGGUAACGGCGCACCAAGCCUUCGUUGGAUAGGUGUUCUGAGAGGAAGGUCCCCCACAUUGGAACGGCGACACGGUCCAAACGCCUACGCGAGGCAGCAGUGAGGAAUAUUGGUCAAUGGGGGCUAGCCGGAACCAGCCAAGUAGCGUGAAGGAGGAAGGCUUAUGGGUCUUAAACUACUUUUAUAUAAGAAGAUGUAUUAGAUGAAUAAGGAUCGGCUAACUCCGUGCCAGCAGCCGCGGUAAUUC
This 406-nucleotide ribosomal RNA is filed under the name uncultured bacterium. RNAcentral describes it as "partial 16S ribosomal RNA". It matches the Rfam family "Bacterial small subunit ribosomal RNA", at positions 28 to 526 of the family's 1533-position model. The record is from RNAcentral.